RNAcentral lists this ribosomal RNA (486 nucleotides) under uncultured bacterium. RNAcentral describes it as "partial 16S ribosomal RNA". It matches the Rfam family "Bacterial small subunit ribosomal RNA", at positions 28 to 507 of the family's 1533-position model. The record is from RNAcentral.
GAUGAACGCUGGCGGCGUGCCUAAUACAUGCAAGUCGAACGCUGGAAAUCUAGCUUGCUAGAUUGAAGGAGUGGCGAACGGGUGAGUAAUACAUAAGCAACCUACCCACGAAGACUGGGAUAAUCUCUGGAAACGGGGACUAAUACCGGAUAGGUAAUCGGAAGGCAUCUUCUGAUUAUUAAAGGUUAAAAACACUGGUGGAUGGGCUUAUGGCGCAUUAGUUAGUUGGUGAGGUAACGGCCCACCAAGACGAUGAUGCGUAGCCGGCCUGAGAGGGUGAACGGCCACAUUGGGACUGAGACACGGCCCAGACUCCUACGGGAGGCAGCAGUAGGGAAUUUUCGGCAAUGGAGGAAACCCUGACCGAGCAACGCCGCGUGAGUGAUGACGGCCUUCGGGUUGUAAAGCUCUGUUGUAAGGGAAGAACGGUAGAUAGAGAAUAUCUAAAUGACGGUACCUUACCAGAAAGCCACGGCUAACUACGUG